CCUACGGGAGGCAGCAGUGAGGAAUAUUGGGCAAUGCCCGAAAGGGUGACCCAGCAACGCCGCGUGGAGGAUGAAGUCCUUCUGGACGUAAACUCCUUUUAGAGGGGACGAAAAGCCCGAUUUGUCGGGAAUUGACGGCACCCUCAGAAAAAGCACCGGCUAACUACGUGCCAGCAGCCGCGGUAAUACGUAGGGUGCAAGCGUUGUCCGGAUUCACUGGGUGUAAAGGGUGCGCAGGCGGGCUCUUAAGUCAAAGGUGAAAUCUCUCGGCUUAACCGAGAAAUUGCCUUUGAUACUGAGAGCCUUGAGUACGGGAGAGGGAGAGGGAAUUCCAGGUGUAGCGGUGAAAUGCGUAGAUAUCUGGAGGAACACCGGAGGCGAAGGCGGCCCCCGGGCCUGUUCCUGAGGCUCAGGCACGAAAGCGUGGGGAGCAAACGGGAUUAGAUCCCCGGGUAGU
This 457-nucleotide ribosomal RNA is filed under the name uncultured Ignavibacteria bacterium. RNAcentral's name for it is "partial 16S ribosomal RNA". It matches the Rfam family "Bacterial small subunit ribosomal RNA", at positions 338 to 794 of the family's 1533-position model. The record is from RNAcentral. Lineage: Bacteria; Pseudomonadati; Ignavibacteriota; Ignavibacteria.